This 981-nucleotide ribosomal RNA is filed under the name human gut metagenome. RNAcentral's name for it is "bacterial LSU rRNA". It matches the Rfam family "Bacterial large subunit ribosomal RNA", at positions 1950 to 2925 of the family's 2925-position model. The record is from RNAcentral.
CCUAAGGUAGCGAAAUUCCUUGUCGGGUAAGUUCCGACCUGCACGAAUGGCGUAAUGAUGGCCAGGCUGUCUCCACCCGAGACUCAGUGAAAUUGAACUCGCUGUGAAGAUGCAGUGUACCCGCGGCAAGACGGAAAGACCCCGUGAACCUUUACUAUAGCUUGACACUGAACAUUGAGCCUUGAUGUGUAGGAUAGGUGGGAGGCUUUGAAGUGUGGACGCCAGUCUGCAUGGAGCCGACCUUGAAAUACCACCCUUUAAUGUUUGAUGUUCUAACGUUGGCCCGUAAUCCGGGUUGCGGACAGUGUCUGGUGGGUAGUUUGACUGGGGCGGUCUCCUCCUAAAGAGUAACGGAGGAGCACGAAGGUUGGCUAAUCCUGGUCGGACAUCAGGAGGUUAGUGCAAUGGCAUAAGCCAGCUUGACUGCGAGCGUGACGGCGCGAGCAGGUGCGAAAGCAGGUCAUAGUGAUCCGGUGGUUCUGAAUGGAAGGGCCAUCGCUCAACGGAUAAAAGGUACUCCGGGGAUAACAGGCUGAUACCGCCCAAGAGUUCAUAUCGACGGCGGUGUUUGGCACCUCGAUGUCGGCUCAUCACAUCCUGGGGCUGAAGUAGGUCCCAAGGGUAUGGCUGUUCGCCAUUUAAAGUGGUACGCGAGCUGGGUUUAGAACGUCGUGAGACAGUUCGGUCCCUAUCUGCCGUGGGCGCUGGAGAACUGAGGGGGGCUGCUCCUAGUACGAGAGGACCGGAGUGGACGCAUCACUGGUGUUCGGGUUGUCAUGCCAAUGGCACUGCCCGGUAGCUAAAUGCGGAAGAGAUAAGUGCUGAAAGCAUCUAAGCACGAAACUUGCCCCGAGAUGAGUUCUCCCUGACUCCUUGAGGGUCCUGAAGGAACGUUGAAGACGACGACGUUGAUAGGCCGGGUGUGUAAGCGCAGCGAUGCGUUGAGCUAACCGGUACUAAUGAACCGUGAGGCUUAACCUU